UACGGAGGAUCCGAGCGUUAUCCGGAUUUAUUGGGUUUAAAGGGUGCGUAGGUGGAUUGGUAAGUCAGUGGUGAAAGUUUGCAGCUUAACUGUAAAAUUGCCGUUGAAACUGCCGGUCUUGAGUGCAAAUGAGGUAGGCGGAAUGCGUCGUGUAGCGGUGAAAUGCUUAGAUAUGACGCAGAACUCCGAUUGCGCAGGCAGCUUACUAAACUACUACUGACGCCCAGGCACGAAGGCGUGGGGAUCAAACAGGAUUAGAUACCCCCGUAGU
This 271-nucleotide ribosomal RNA is filed under the name uncultured prokaryote. RNAcentral describes it as "partial 16S ribosomal RNA". It matches the Rfam family "Bacterial small subunit ribosomal RNA", at positions 524 to 794 of the family's 1533-position model. The record is from RNAcentral.